RNAcentral lists this ribosomal RNA (309 nucleotides) under uncultured eukaryote. Its description in RNAcentral is "partial 18S ribosomal RNA". It matches the Rfam family "Eukaryotic small subunit ribosomal RNA", at positions 1470 to 1796 of the family's 1831-position model. The record is from RNAcentral.
CCCUUAGAUGUUCUGGGCGGCCCGCGCACUACAAUGGCGUGUGCAGCGAGUGCCGAAGUAGAGUUUUCCGAGGUAUUCUUGCAAUGCUCGUUUUGAUGGGGAUAGACCCUUGCAACUGUUGGUUUUGAACGAGGAAUUCCUUGUAAGCAUGGUUUAUCAUCCGACGCUGAAUGCGUCCCUGCCCUUUGUACACACCGCCCGUCGCUCCUACCGAUGAGUCGUCCGGUGAAGUUCGUAGACCUCGUGAUCGCGGAUCACUGGGGGAAGCAAAAUGAACCUCGCGGUUGAGAGGAAGGAGAAGUCGUAACA